AAAUUUGAGUUAUCUUGAAAGAUUUUCCAACAAAAAAUUGUGCUUGGAUGAACCAUAAAAGAGUAACAAAGAAAAAUAAGGUAUGAAUUAUAUUGUAUGAACAUAUAACAUGACUGUUAAAAGACUAACUUUGAUGGCCAUAUACGCAUGUCUAAAUUGCAGGGUAAGUGAUGAGCAAUAUUACUUUGAUCUCUGCAAUUCAUAUAUGAAGUAGAUGUACUAAUUUUUUCAAGGAGCACGCCACACCAAUGAUUACAUUUUCAUUGAGCAUAUGGCUCAUGAUUUGGAUUACAU
This 294-nucleotide long non-coding RNA is filed under the name Medicago truncatula (barrel medic). RNAcentral describes it as "long non-coding RNA (MTRU_LNC008858)". Lineage: Eukaryota; Viridiplantae; Streptophyta; Magnoliopsida; Fabales; Fabaceae. The record is from RNAcentral.